This 491-nucleotide ribosomal RNA is filed under the name uncultured bacterium. Its description in RNAcentral is "bacterial SSU rRNA". It matches the Rfam family "Bacterial small subunit ribosomal RNA", at positions 28 to 526 of the family's 1533-position model. The record is from RNAcentral.
GACGAACGCUGGCGGCGUGCUUAACACAUGCAAGUCGAACGCUGAAGCCCCAGCUUGCUGGGGUGGAUGAGUGGCGAACGGGUGAGUAACACGUGAGUAACCUGCCCAUCACUCUGGGAUAAGCGCUGGAAACGGCGUCUAAUACUGGAUACGAGCAGCGACCGCAUGGUCAGUUGCUGGAAAGACUGGUUCGGUGAUGGAUGGACUCGCGGCCUAUCAGCUUGUUGGUGAGGUAAUGGCUCACCAAGGCGACGACGGGUAGCCGGCCUGAGAGGGUGACCGGCCACACUGGGACUGAGACACGGCCCAGACUCCUACGGGAGGCAGCAGUGGGGAAUAUUGCACAAUGGGCGCAAGCCUGAUGCAGCAACGCCGCGUGAGGGAUGACGGCCUUCGGGUUGUAAACCUCUUUUAGUAGGGAAGAAGCCUUCGGGUGACGGUACCUGCAGAAAAAGCACCGGCUAACUACGUGCCAGCAGCCGCCGUAAAAC